CAGCCGCCGCGGUAAUACGGAGGGGGCUAGCGUUGUUCGGAAUUACUGGGCGUAAAGCGUGCGCAGGCGGUUGUGCAAGACAGAUGUGAAAUCCCCGAGCUUAACUUGGGAACUGCAUUUGUGACUGCACGGCUAGAGUGUGUCAGAGGGGGGUAGAAUUCCACGUGUAGCAGUGAAAUGCGUAGAUAUGUGGAGGAAUACCGAUGGCGAAGGCAGCCCCCUGGGAUAACACUGACGCUCAUGCACGAAAGCGUGGGGAGCAAACAGGAUUAGAUACCCCUGUAGUCCCUGUCUCUUAUAC
This 301-nucleotide ribosomal RNA is filed under the name uncultured bacterium. RNAcentral describes it as "partial 16S ribosomal RNA". It matches the Rfam family "Bacterial small subunit ribosomal RNA", at positions 509 to 807 of the family's 1533-position model. The record is from RNAcentral.